Molecule: ribosomal RNA, 253 nt
Filed under: uncultured bacterium
Lineage: Bacteria
Description: partial 16S ribosomal RNA
Rfam family: Bacterial small subunit ribosomal RNA
Source: RNAcentral
UACGGAGGGAGCUAGCGUUGUUCGGAAUUACUGGGCGUAAAGCGCACGUAGGCGGCUUGGCAAGUCGGAUGUGAAAGCCCUCGGCUCAACCAAGGAAGUGCAUCCGAAACUGCUGAGCUUGAGUACUUAAGAGGAUCGCGGAAUUCCCGGUGUAGAGGUGAAAUUCGUAGAUAUCGGGAGGAACACCAGUGGCGAAGGCGGCGAUCUGCGAAGAUACUGACGCUGAGGUGCGAAAGCGUGGGGAGCAAACAGG